RNAcentral lists this ribosomal RNA (301 nucleotides) under uncultured bacterium. Its description in RNAcentral is "partial 16S ribosomal RNA". It matches the Rfam family "Bacterial small subunit ribosomal RNA", at positions 509 to 807 of the family's 1533-position model. The record is from RNAcentral.
CAGCAGCCGCGGUAAUACGAGGGGGGCAAGCGUUGUUCGGAAUUAUUGGGCGUAAAGGGUGCGUAGGCGGCUUGACAAGUCUUGUGUGGAAUCUAUGGGCUCAACCCAUAGUCUGCACGGGAAACUGUCGGGCUUGAGAAUGGGAGAGGUGAGUGGAAUUUCCGGUGUAGCGGUGAAAUGCGUAGAUAUCGGAAGGAACACCUGUGGCGAAAGCGGCUCACUGGACCAUUUCUGACGCUGAUGCACGAAAGCUAGGGGAGCAAACAGGAUUAGAUACCCCGGUAGUCCCUGUCUCUUAUAC